GCGAACGUGCGGCAGCGAAUACUCUAAGGUCACAGCGAUUCUCAGAGUCAACGGUGCGGAUACGCAACGGUCAGCGCACAAGCAUAGUCGCACUAACACACACACACACGGUCUCAGGUAAAGCACUCGUAUGCUGUACACACCUGCCUGUGUAUGUAUGUGUGCUGCAUAUAAACGCGUUUAAUUAAUGUGAAAGUGUCGUCGGCGCUGCCGUUUUUCUUUGUACUCGACGUUACUCGCUUUUCUGAAUCGCCUAAGUGUUAACCGUUAAAUGUGCCGUUAAUUUUUCUUUUCGCGAUUAUUAAGUGCUAAAAACGCUGAAUUGAUUUCACACAUUUUUUUCUUGCAUUUUUUCGAAUUUAUUCGAGCAAGUGGUAAAUCGAAUUUAAUUCAUUUUCCUUUAGCUCGGCGGUCUUGGUUUUGCAUUGUGAUCCGAGCGGCAUACCUGGUCAUUUCAGGCAACUGAGGAGAGCACUCCUGGCCCCUUUUUAGACAUCAAAGACGGCAACAACGGCGGCCAGAAUUUUCUCACGUUUGGAUAGUGUCGAGGAGGUGCAACGCGGUCGCAGUGGCAGCGCUGUGGGAA
Molecule: long non-coding RNA, 586 nt
Organism: Drosophila rhopaloa
Lineage: Eukaryota; Metazoa; Arthropoda; Insecta; Diptera; Drosophilidae
Exons: 3
Source: RefSeq, a predicted model, not a curated record